UGGGGAAUAUUGCACAAUGGGCGCAAGCCUGAUGCAGCGACGCCGCGUGAGGGAUGAAGGCCUUCGGGUUGUAAACCUCUUUCGGCAGGGACGAAGCGCGAGUGACGGUACCUGCAGAAGAAGCGCCGGCCAACUACGUGCCAGCAGCCGCGGUAAGACGUAGGGCGCAAGCGUUGUCCGGAUUUAUUGGGCGUAAAGAGCUCGUAGGCGGCUUGUCGCGUCGACUGCGAAACUCCACGGCUCAACCGUGGGACUGCAGUCGAUACGGGCAGGCUAGAGUUCGGUAGGGGAAACUGGAAUUCCUGGUGUAGCGGUGAAAUGCGCAGAUAUCAGGAGGAACACCGGUGGCGAAGGCGGGUCUCUGGGCCGAUACUGACGCUGAGGAGCGAAAGCGUGGGGAGCGAACA
This 407-nucleotide ribosomal RNA is filed under the name uncultured bacterium. RNAcentral's name for it is "bacterial SSU rRNA". It matches the Rfam family "Bacterial small subunit ribosomal RNA", at positions 355 to 774 of the family's 1533-position model. The record is from RNAcentral.